RNAcentral lists this ribosomal RNA (454 nucleotides) under uncultured Acidobacteriota bacterium. RNAcentral describes it as "bacterial SSU rRNA". It matches the Rfam family "Bacterial small subunit ribosomal RNA", at positions 43 to 527 of the family's 1533-position model. The record is from RNAcentral. Lineage: Bacteria; Pseudomonadati; Acidobacteriota.
CAGGCCUAACACAUGCAAGUCGAACGAGAAAGUGGUAGCAAUACCAUGAGUAAAGUGGCGCACGGGUGAGUAACACGUGACUAACCUACCCUUGAGUGGGGGAUAACUGAGGGAAACCUUAGCUAAUACCGCAUAAUACCCACGGGUCAAAGGAGCAAUUCGCUCGAGGAGGGGGUCGCGGCCGAUUAGUUAGUUGGCGGGGUAAUGGCCCACCAAGACGAUGAUCGGUAUCCGGCCUGAGAGGGCGCACGGACACACUGGAACUGAAACACGGUCCAGACUCCUACGGGAGGCAGCAGUGGGGAAUUUUGCGCAAUGGGGGAAACCCUGACGCAGCAACGCCGCGUGGAGGAUGAAGUCCUUCGGGACGUAAACUCCUUUCGAUCGGGACGAUUAUGACGGUACCGGAAGAAGAAGCCCCGGCUAACUUCGUGCCAGCAGCCGCGGUAAUACA